UACGUAGGGUGCGAGCGUUGUCCGGAAUUAUUGGGCGUAAAGAGCUCGUAGGCGGUGUGUCGCGUCGGCCGUGAAAACCUGGGGCUCAACUCUGGGCGUGCGGUCGAUACGGGAAUCACUGGAGUUCGGCAGGGGAGACUGGAAUUCCUGGUGUAGAGGUGAAAUGCGCAGAUAUCAGGAGGAACACCGGUGGCGAAGGCGGGUCUCUGGGCCGAUACUGACGCUGAGGAGCGAAAGCAUGGGUAGCGAACAGG
Molecule: ribosomal RNA, 254 nt
Filed under: uncultured bacterium
Lineage: Bacteria
Description: partial 16S ribosomal RNA
Rfam family: Bacterial small subunit ribosomal RNA
Source: RNAcentral